CUACAGGCUUAACACAUGCAAGUCGAGGGGAAACGAUAGAGAAAGCUUGCUUUUUCUAGGCGUCGACCGGCGCACGGGUGAGUAACGCGUAUCCAACCUGCCCAUCACUUGGGGAUAACCUUGCGAAAGUAAGACUAAUACCCAAUGACGUCUCUAGAAGACAUCUGAAGGAGAUUAAAGAUUUAUCGGUGAUGGAUGGGGAUGCGUCUGAUUAGCUUGUUGGCGGGGUAACGGCCCACCAAGGCGACGAUCAGUAGGGGUUCUGAGAGGAAGGUCCCCCACAUUGGAACUGAGACACGGUCCAAACUCCUACGGGAGGCAGCAGUGAGGAAUAUUGGUCAAUGGGCGAGAGCCUGAACAGCCAAGUAGCGUGCAGGAAGACGGCCCUAUGGGUUGUAAACUGCUUUUAUAAGGGAAUAAAGUGAGUCUCGUGAGACUUUUUGCAUGUACCUUAUGAAUAAGGACCGGCUAAUUCCGUGCCAGCAGCCGCGGUAAUACGGAAGGUCCGGGCGUUAUCCGGAUUUAUUGGGUUUAAAGGGAGCGUAGGCCGGAGAUUAAGCGUGUUGUGAAAUGUAGACGCUCAACGUCUGCACUGCAGCGCGAACUGGUUUCCUUGAGUACGCACAAAGUGGGCGGAAUUCGUGGUGUAGCGGUGAAAUGCUUAGAUAUCACGAAGAACUCCGAUUGCGAAGGCAGCUCACUGGAGCGCAACUGACGCUGAAGCUCGAAAGUGCGGGUAUCGAACAGGAUUAGAUACCCUGGUAGUCCGCACGGUAAACGAUGGAUGCCCGCUGUUGGUCUGAAUAGGUCAGCGGCCAAGCGAAAGCAUUAAGCAUCCCACCUGGGGAGUACGCCGGCAACGGUGC
Molecule: ribosomal RNA, 866 nt
Filed under: uncultured bacterium
Lineage: Bacteria
Description: bacterial SSU rRNA
Rfam family: Bacterial small subunit ribosomal RNA
Source: RNAcentral